This 284-nucleotide long non-coding RNA is filed under the name Rhinolophus ferrumequinum (greater horseshoe bat). RNAcentral's name for it is "lncRNA (ENSRFEG00010018964.1)". Lineage: Eukaryota; Metazoa; Chordata; Mammalia; Chiroptera; Rhinolophidae. The record is from RNAcentral.
CCACAGCGGACCUUGUGAUCAUCAGAUACUUUCCCUCUGAGCCCCAAAGUGGUUUUAGCAUCCUUCCCAACACAAGCAACCCUGUCCGUUCAUCGAAGUGGCCUAAUUUGCCUUUGUAGCCCUACGCAACUUAAGGAGAAAAUAAUGAAUGUCAAAGGAAAAGUGAUUCUGUCAAUGCUGGUUGUGUCAACUGUAGUUGUUGUGUUUUGGGAAUAUAUCAACAGGUAAUUAUGAAACACGAUGAAAUGAUGUUGAUGAAAGUUAAUCUAGUAUUAACCAAGUCA